GAAGAAACUGCGGCAGACAGAAGUUAAGUGACUUUCCUCACUUCAGUUAGCUAAUUUUUACCAUCACAGAAAAUGCUGCUGUGACUCUCUUGGCUAAUAUGUGACUUCUUUAACCUCCUUGAAGUAUAGGAGCAGAGCUACUUCUGGAUCAAAAGGGAAGUUCACUGUGACGGGACCACAACAACCAAUCAUUGCCUUGGUGAAUGGAGAGGCCACAUUUCCAUGCCACCUUUCUCCCCAGAUGGAUGCCUCGAAUAUGGAGGUGAUGUGGU
Molecule: long non-coding RNA, 272 nt
Organism: Dromiciops gliroides (monito del monte)
Lineage: Eukaryota; Metazoa; Chordata; Mammalia; Microbiotheria; Microbiotheriidae
Exons: 3
Source: RefSeq, a predicted model, not a curated record